GACGAACGCUGGCGGCGUGCUUAACACAUGCAAGUCGAACGGUAAGGCCCUUCGGGGUACACGAGUGGCGAACGGGUGAGUAACACGUGGGUGAUCUGCCCUGCACUUCGGGAUAAGCCUGGGAAACUGGGUCUAAUACCGGAUAGGACCACUGCCUGCAUGGGUGGUGGUGGAAAGCUUUUGCGGUGUGGGAUGGGCCCGCGGCCUAUCAGCUUGUUGGUGGGGUGAUGGCCUACCAAGGCGACGACGGGUAGCCGGCCUGAGAGGGUGACCGGCCCCACUGGGACUGAGAUACGGCCCAGACUCCGACGGGAGGCAGCAGUGGGGAAUAUUGCACAAUGGGCGCAAGCCUGAUGCAGCGACGCCGCGUGAGGGAUGACGGCCUUCGGGUUGUAAACCUCUUUCAGCACCGACGAAGCGCAAGUGACGGUAGGUGCAGAAGAAGGACCGGCCAACUACGUGCCAGCAGCCGCCGCCG
RNAcentral lists this ribosomal RNA (478 nucleotides) under uncultured bacterium. RNAcentral's name for it is "partial 16S ribosomal RNA". It matches the Rfam family "Bacterial small subunit ribosomal RNA", at positions 28 to 523 of the family's 1533-position model. The record is from RNAcentral.